RNAcentral lists this ribosomal RNA (322 nucleotides) under uncultured bacterium. RNAcentral describes it as "bacterial SSU rRNA". It matches the Rfam family "Bacterial small subunit ribosomal RNA", at positions 1166 to 1488 of the family's 1533-position model. The record is from RNAcentral.
GAGGAAGGUGGGGAUGACGUCAAGUCCUCAUGGCCUUUAUGUCCAGGGCUACACACGUGCUACAAUGGCCGGUACAAACCGCUGCAAACCCGCGAGGGUGAGCCAAUCGGAGAAAGCCGGCCUCAGUUCGGAUUGCAGUCUGCAACUCGACUGCAUGAAGCUGGAAUCGCUAGUAAUCGCGGAUCAGCAUGCCGCGGUGAUACGUUCCCGGGCCUUGUACACACCGCCCGUCACAUCACGAAAGUGGGUUGUACUAGAAGCAGGUGAGCUAACCGCAAGGAAGCAGCCUUCCAAGGUGUGAUUCAUGAUUGGGGUGAAGUCG